UUGGUUCUUCAUCAAUCUUUCAAUGAUAUUAUCCCAGCUAGACCUCGAGGCCUUACUCCAGCCAGCUCAAGGCCCAGUCUUGUGACCCUGUCGGGUUGCCUUUCUUAUUUUCUGUACAUACAUUUGGAAUUAUUCAUCUAUCAACUAGUAUUAGGAUUAAUCACAUAUUUUUAGAACCACAAAUCAAAUAUAAUUGUAAAUACCAUUUUCAAUGUAAAUAGUUUGGCGCCCACCAUGGGGCUAAAAAUAAUAGUGAUUUUUUUGUGCUAGUUUUCUGUCAACACAUGUUGCUCUUCACGAUUUUUCUUGUCCAAGGAUCUUUGAUUUCAGGUAAAAAAAUGUCUAACUCAGAAAAUGCACACGAAAAUAACGAUGUUGGGAUUCAUGGAAAGAACGGACCAGAAGAACCUCAACGCAUCAUUCACAUGAUCGUUGGAGGAACCGACCUCCCAUAGGGAUCCAUGUUCAAACAUGCCAAAGUAUCCAUCCCAAUAGAAAGGCAAAAUCGAAGCUAUAUACCCGAGGACACCCUUAUAUUUAGAGAAGAAGACAUUGGGACCUUGUCCCAACCACACGAUGAUGCGCUGGUAAUUUCUUUUCUUUGUAAUAACGUUCAAAUUAAAUUUGCGCUCGGGGAUCCAGGUAGCUCAGCCAACAUAAUUAGGUCGAAGGUGGCGGGAAACUCAGACUGCUCGACCAGAUCGUACCCACAUCUCGAAUCCUCCAUAGAUUCAACAUGACAAGCGAGACAAAGAAUGGAGAAUUCAUCCUCCUAAUCAUUGUGUCUGGUACAGUUCAGGACACCAAGUUCCAUGUCAUCGAAGGUGACAUGGGGUACAACGCCUUACUUGGGAGAUCUUGGAUACACAACAUGAGAGUGGUACAAUCGACCCUUCACCAGAUAAUGAAAUUCCCAACAAAAAACGGUAUAAAAAUGGUGUAUGGAGAAUAACAUGUAGCAAAGGAGAUGUUCGGGAUAAACAACACACCACCAACACCGACUCCCCUCGUCCAAGAUGGGUUAGUAAAUGGGUCGACCCUCGAGGAACAGGUGGUCUGCAAACACUCCAACGAAGAUGAUGUAGCGUACUUCCUCACUCCUCGGACCUUCAUUGCCCCCAAGGAAUCAGAUGCAACAAAAUCAAUAGUCAAAGAACUCGAACAAGCCGUCUUAAUCAAACAUCUUCCAAAUCGAAAGGUAUACGUGGGAACAUGAUUAACCCCCCAAACUCAGGAAAAUACUCAUCCAAUUUCUUGUUAACAAUAUUAAUUGCUUUGCUUGGUCCCAUUUAGACAUGACAAGGAUCCCACCAGAAAUAGCCACCUAUCAACUAAGCGCCGGUCCCAUGUUCAAACUUGUGAAGCAAAAAAGGAGGCCUCAAUUCAAGAUAAAACACGCAUUCAUCAAAGACGAGGUAACAAAAGACCUUAAAAUAGGAAUAGCAAGGAGGUAAAAUACCCCGAAUGGUUGGCUAAUAUUGUAGUGAUCCCCAAAAAAGGAAAUAAAUUAAGAAUGUGCGUGGAUUAUAAAGACUUGAAUAAAGCAUGCCCGAAAGACUCAUUCCCAUUGCCCAACAUCAAUCUCUUCAUCAAUGCCAUGUCAGCCACGAGAUCCUCACCUUUCUCGAUGCUUAUUCUGAGUAUAAUCAAAUUCAAAUGAACCCAAGGAAAAGACUUUGUUCAUCACGAAGUAUGGUACACAGGGAAAAGGCUUCGUUCAUCAUGAAGUAUGGUACAUACUGCUAUAAUGUAAUUCCCUUGGGACUAAAAAUUGCAGGAGCUACAUACCAACGCCUAGUUAAUAAGAUGUUUGAACAUCAAAUAGGAUAAUCUAUGGAGUUUACAUUGAUGACAUGCUAGUUAAGUCCCUGCGCGCAGAGGACCAUUUGACUCCUUUGUAGGAAAGAUUCGAUAUCCUAAGAAGUUACAACUAUCACACCUCCUUUUUAAUACCCCUAGAAGGGGAUAUAAGGGAGUUUUUCCAAUUUAAGUGACAGUCAAAACGAGAUUAUUUUAUUAAAAUCAGAUUCGCCACUUGGGAUGGUUUUUUGGUAUCCCAAGUCACAGGUUUAAAAUCCCGAAUCGAGGAAAAGUUUGACUCUAUUUUAUAGUUCGUGAAACAUAGAAAUUUGAGUAAGGAAUUUUGUUUACCCGGGAGAAGAUGUUAGGCAUUUCCGAGUUCCGUGGUUUUAGAACGGUCGCUUUGAUCAUACUUGGCUUAAACAAAUUGUUUGAUUACUGAUUUUAGAAUCAAUGUGCAUUGGCCUCUUAAUUAAGAAAUUAUCUUGAGACGGGUCACGCUCACGUGUACCCAUUUCUUUGGCGCGUCAAAAAUCAUGUCAUGCAAAUAUGUCUAUAAUUAGUAACUCUUUAUUAUUAUUAGGAAAAGUUUGGUCAAAGUUGCGCGAACGCAUACUCUGGUUUUGUUUUUAAAAUCGUAAUCAUGUCAUGCGAACGUGUCCACGACCACUUUAAUAUAUUAAACAUUCCUAAAUCAACACUAUGAUCAUUUGUUAUAUCUAAAUUAUGAAAUUAAUACGAGGGUCAUGUAUAAUUAAAUGUGGAUGGCGCACCUCGAACUAUAUAAUCCUAAAUUAAUUUAGCGGCCUAUUAAACCAAUUUUAUUAUUAAGAAGAAGCUGAUUGAAGUUGCGCGAACGCAUACUCUGAAUUAGUUUUAGAAUAUUAAUUAUGUCACGCGAAUGCUUACACAAUCACAAUAUUAUUCUUAAACGCGUGCCUAAAGCUCUUCUACGAGGUUUGUAAACUGGUGUUUGUGAGCACUCGGGCCCGAGAUUAUGGAGUAUUUUCGCUAGAGAGGCUUCGUGCAUUUUGGCCAGCCCAAAUCCUAAGCUUGUUAGUAAUUUAAAUCAUUAAACGGCUGGGCGUUCCAUUACACCACGAAUAGCAAAACUUCGAAUAGACCAGCUCUAACAAACUCAAAGAAUUCCCAAACAGCCAAACAUUGAAGAACAAACUACAAUUCUAGUCACGAGACAAACAAAGAAUAACUAGCAAUUUUAAUUGAUUGGAGAUGGUGACCUUGAGCACAAUAAGAACCAAGACCGCCCCCACUUACCCAUCUUAAUCUAAAAUUCAGAAUAAAACUUAAUGAUUCACAUAGCAACUUCAACCCCUAUUUCUGAUGAAUUAAUGCUCUUAAUAUUGCAAACAAAGCAAAUUCUUAGGACUCAAACUCAUGUGAACCUUGACUUCACACAUUAUAACCAUGCUUCGUGGGAAUUACAGCAAAACCCAAGUGAGUCUACUAACCAGCAACUUUGAAUACAAUACAAAUAUGUGUGUUACGCCAUGGGUCAAUUUUACCAAAUUCAAAUUAUCAAAAGAAUCUUUAAAUACAAGUCAUGGACUGACCUAACAGAUGUGGCUGAAUGACUUAGCAUGCUAUUGAUUCACCCUAAAUUCGGUUCAAAAACUUUGAAGCAAACAAGAAUUAUGCACAUUUCCAAAACAAAAAAAAUAGCUACUAUCAUGGUUCAACUAAGGCCUGAUUUACUACACACGAUCAACACAAGUAAGCUAAUCAAGAAAUAAACCCGUUCGAAUGAAAUUCUCUCUAAUAUCCAUAAAUGAAUCUGUGAUUACAAGCCCGGUGAAAACACACCAAAUAAGACAACAAAGGACUGAAUAAAGCACUUACGAGACCCCAUCUUUUCCAACUAGGAAACUAUUCAAAGCUAUUCCAUACAUGUUGAAUCUACAAAGGAACAAAAUUUAGAGAUGAAGAAUUCAUGAAUUUGGUUAAUUUCUUAUUUCCACAUUCCCAGGUUUAUCAAAACAAAUGACUAGUAUGGCCAUUUUCACAUCAUCUUUCACUAUAAUACCCAGAUCACUUUCACCAUUCCAAUAUGUUAAGUUAAGAGCAAAAAGGCACCUGAUCGAGCACAAACAUCAGAUUUAUGGCUAGUGUUCUCACAGUAAACCUUAGUGCAAAACUUCAGCCAUCAGAUUUAAGCUAUAUACAACUUAAACCAACUAUUUAAUCUUCUAACCCAACUAACACAUGUAUAGAUAAUCAUUAGAAAAAAUCAGAACCUAUAACAUUUUUGUUGAACACUGAACUUCGUCCAUUCAAGGUUAACACACAUUCAUUUGAAAUCAGAGAUGGCAAGCCACCACAAGAGAAACUCAUUAGCUUAUACACGGACCAUAUGUGCAAUUUUCAAAGAUAAAACAUUCUUCAUACACUCGAUACAUUAGAUUGAAGUUUCAUACCUUGUGAGCAACACAUCAAAAGGAAAAGAAAAUGAAUAUCUGGUUCUGAGGAAUGGAAGCACCACAGAACCAAAAAGGAACAGCUGCAGGUCGACAAAUAGUAACAUGUUCAAACGUCCAAAACCAGAAUCAAAGAAAAGAAGAACUCUGCUAUUUCGAAUUGCUAACUGAGAUUGACAUCCAGUGAAAUCAUGUAACCUCCAUAAUAUUUUUUUAUUUUUGUUCUGUUCGGAUAUAUGAAAAACAAGAAAAUCGCAACCAAAAAAAGGAAACUUUAAACCUAAUUUUCUUCCUUCAAAUUUUCAGAAGAGGUCUCUCCAAAAUUCCUUUAAUCCAAAAAAAAAAAACUCCCUACACAAGAAAAGGUCUUCACCUUGUAUAGACUUCCCAAAGAUCUCGAAGCUUCUACUUCCCUUUUCAAGAAAUCCUCUGAGCCACGAAAUCUUCUGUCUAAACUAAUUUUUACCCUUUUUCAUAAAGGGACAAAUGGAGGGAGUAGAUCAACUCGAAUCUGAUAUGACGCUCCUCAUUUUUCCUCAUUUUCAUCUGAAGGGUGAAAAUUUUGAAAUAAAUCAAAGAGAGCAUGUGAGGGAGAGGGAAUAUGUAAGAAACGGUUACAAUAUGGCAAGAGGAGAGAGGGUAAAACACGUGGCGCGAGUUUGGGUUUCACUCGCCUGAAUUUUGGCAAGUUUUGGGAACAGAUUCGACUUGUUGGAGAUGAAGAAUAGUGUUCCGCCGUUUGGGGUCUUUGAAUUUAGGGUUUUCUUUUAUUUUUUGUGUUAUAAGUGGGAUGGGCGGGUAAUGAGUCGUGGGUUAUGGGAUGGAGAGGGGCA
RNAcentral lists this long non-coding RNA (5068 nucleotides) under Nicotiana benthamiana. RNAcentral's name for it is "long non-coding RNA (NBEN_LNC040265)". The record is from RNAcentral. Lineage: Eukaryota; Viridiplantae; Streptophyta; Magnoliopsida; Solanales; Solanaceae.